ACACACAAGGCAUCGGUGGAUUUUGGUUGGCAAUCCGACAUAGUGCACGAGUACUCUGCAGGGUCCAAACAGCGGCAUGCUACCUGACAAUCCAUCUGCGUAAGAGCCAGGUUACAUGCUACCAGCCCCUAGCACCAAUGGAGGAGGACCGCCUACUCAUUUGGUGCCAGCAUCGUUUGCAUCAGAUAAAUCACAACAAAGAUAUGGUGACCCAAGACCCACGGUUAUAUAAGGAGGUGUAUGAAGAAACGACAGCAUAGAGGACCCAGCACAUCCCCUCACAGAUUCCAUGCCUUUCAAAAUAUUAGAACAAGAUUUCAAGGCAUUUUCC
Engraulis encrasicolus (European anchovy) is the source of this 331-nucleotide long non-coding RNA. RefSeq lists it as uncharacterized. The record is from RefSeq and is a predicted model, not a curated record. Lineage: Eukaryota; Metazoa; Chordata; Actinopteri; Clupeiformes; Engraulidae. The transcript has 3 exons.